ACAAAAUGGCGUUAGCUUCAGCUAAAGCUUUGUUAGAUGAGUUAAUGGGAAGAGAUCGUAAUUUAGCACCUACAGAUCAAAAGAAAGAAGCAAGUUGGAGUAACUCACAGGUUUGCAAGCACUUUCUGGUGAAAUUCUGCCCAAAUGACCUGUUUGUUAAUACAAAAGCAGACUUAGGAAUAUGCAAUAAAAUUCAUGAUGAAAAGAUAAAAAAAGAGUACGAGGAGAGUGACUGUUUUCAACAAAUGGGCUAUGAAGACGAGUUUAUAAGGUUCUGCCAAGGGAUGCUUUCGGACGUAGAGAGAAGAAUCCAGCGAGCAAGAAGAAGGUUAGCACUGGGACAUCAAGAAGGAGGGAUAGCUGCUGUGCCAUUAUCAAAAAACAGUGAAGAGAAAAUUCAGGUGUUAACUGACCGCGUCAAUGAAUUAUUGAUACAGGUGGAAGAACUUGGAUGUGAAGGCAAAGUAGAAGAAGCACAAGGAAUAAUGAAACUAGUAGAUCAACUCAAGGAAGAGAGAGAAGCAAUGAGGAAAGGUUCUGAACCAAGUCAUUGGUUACAGCUAACAGCAGAAAUUGCUGCAGCCCAAGAAAAACAGAUGGAAGUGUGCGAAGUUUGUGGGGCUUUUCUGAUUGUUGGCGAUGCUCAGCAGCGGGUGGACGAUCACUUGAUGGGUAAACAACACGUGGGAUAUGCUAGAUUGAAGUCCGCUGUAGAAGAAAUCUUGCACGAAAGGGAAAAAGAAAGAGAGGAACGAGAAAAUCAGCGAGAAAAAGAAAGACAGGAACGUCGCAAAAAACAAGAAGAGGAGGAAAAACGUAGAGAAAAAGAAAGAGAGGAAAGAAGGAAAAAGCUGGAAGAAGAGGAAAAAAAACGCAAGGAAAAAGAACAUGAGCGAUACGUGCGCCAUUCUCGAAGUCGAGAUUGGGAAAGGAGAAGAAGUCGUGACAGAAGAAGUAGAAGUCGAGAACGCAGACAUUCUCACAGCAGUAAGGAGAAAACAAAGCAUAACAGAGACGACAAGGAAAGGUUUGUCAUAUCACGACAACGGUCCAGAAGCAGAUCUCGGGAAUACAAGCAUUCCCAUCAUUCUAAUGUUCAGUCUAAGGACAAGAAAACAGAGUCUAAGCAUAGGGACAGGGGAAGAUCAGAAAGGGACUCCAAGUACCAGAGACAUAGUAGAGACAGUCCCGAAGGUUGUAGAAGUGAUUCGUGUAAUGAUACUGUUGAAAAUGGAGAUGUGCGAGCUUCUGACAACGAUGUAAGUUUGACAGCAGAAAGAUAAGAAUCCAGAUUAGUGACUUUUAUUUUUAAAAAGCAUCAGUUCUUGUACUAGCAGGGUGUGAUAGUUUUUUUCUUUGAAGCCAGCCUGUGGUAGAAUGGAGGAGGAGUACCAGCAUGACCAUAUUCAAGAGUGAACGUAUAUGUGACUGAACCAGAGAGAGGAAGUCUCCAUGUGCAGUGUCUGAGGAUUGUGCUCUGUCAGUAUUGUUUUAAAUAGCAUAAGGUAUGGAUAAGAAUGUACUAAAUUUGGAAUUUUACUUAAUCUUUCCAAAAGAUACAAGUGAUUUUUUUAUAUGUACGUAGCCCUAUUUUGUUUAGUUUGUUGAUGUAAAAGAAAACAUUUUAACCUUAAGUUCCAUUUCCUGAAAUGAUAAUAUUUUGUAACAAUAUAAAUAUAGUAAAUUGUUAGCAGUGCUCCACGGAAUUGUCAAACUAGUUGUUAUUAAAGGUUUUUUUGAAUGUUCAAUUUUUGUAUGUUGGCUUUUUCAUCUGACCAACAAAAUGCUAACUGUAAAGCUUCAGGCCUGUAUUGUAAAACUUGGAGAAUGGUGUACUGUACCAAAUUAUUCCCAAGAAUGUAUCAUCUGACAAUAUACAGAAGAUUGGAAAUAAAAUCAGACACUUUGCUAUAUAACA
This 1918-nucleotide unclassified non-coding RNA is filed under the name Limulus polyphemus (Atlantic horseshoe crab). Its description in RNAcentral is "luc7-like protein 3, transcript variant X1". Lineage: Eukaryota; Metazoa; Arthropoda; Merostomata; Xiphosura; Limulidae. The record is from RNAcentral.